RNAcentral lists this ribosomal RNA (206 nucleotides) under uncultured bacterium. RNAcentral's name for it is "partial 16S ribosomal RNA". It matches the Rfam family "Bacterial small subunit ribosomal RNA", at positions 568 to 774 of the family's 1533-position model. The record is from RNAcentral.
CACGUAGGCGGAUAGGCAAGUCAGGUGUGAAAGCCCGGGGCUUAACCUCGGAAUUGCAUUUGAUACUGUCUGUCUUGAGUAUGGUAGAGGGGAUGGAAUUCCCGGUGUAGAGGUGAAAUUCGUAGAUAUCGGGAGGAACACCAGAGGCGAAGGCGAUCCCCUGGGCCAUUACUGACGCUGAGGUGCGAAAGCGUGGGGAGCAAACA